GGGGAAUUCCGUGUAGACAAAGCU
RNAcentral lists this non-coding RNA (24 nucleotides) under Cricetulus griseus (Chinese hamster). Lineage: Eukaryota; Metazoa; Chordata; Mammalia; Rodentia; Cricetidae. The record is from RNAcentral.